UCAUCAUCCGUAAAUUUAAAUGUUAGUCCAAAGGGGUACAGCUCUUUGGAUCAGGAUACAACCUUUAUUAGAGAGUAAACUAAUUUAAUAAUCAUAGUUGGCCUAAAAGCAGCCACCAAUUAAGAAAGCGUUCAAGCUCAACAAUUUUAUUACCCUUAAUGUAAUUAAUAUAAUUCAACUCCUAACCUAACACUGGACUAAUCUAUAAUUUUAUAGAAGAAAUACUGUUAAUAUGAGUAACAAGAUUUAAAUCUCCUAGCACAAGCAUAUAUCAGAACAAAUACUAGCUGAUAGUUAACAGCCAAAUAAAUAAAUCCUAACAAUUAAAACUUUAUUCCAUCACUGUUAAUCCAACACAGGUGUGCAUUAAGGAAAGAUUAAAAGAAGUAAAAGGAACUCGGCAAACAUAAACCCCGCCUGUUUACCAAAAACAUCACCUCUAGCAUUAUUAGUAUUAGAGGCACUGCCUGCCCAGUGACAAUUGUUUAACGGCCGCGGUAUCCUGACCGUGCAAAGGUAGCAUAAUCAUUUGUUCCUUAAAUAGGGACUUGUAUGAAUGGCCACACGAGGGUUUAACUGUCUCUUACUUCCUAUCAGUGAAAUUGACCUUUCCGUGAAGAGGCGGAAAUAAACAAAUUAGACGAGAAGACCCUAUGGAGCUUCAAUUUAUCUAUACCAACAGAAUAACUCUAUACCCAUCAAGGACUAACACUCAUUCUAACUGGUUAGAAAAUUUCGGUUGGGGUGACCUCGGAGUAUAAAUUAACCCCCGAGAAGAAUUACUAAGACUGACAAGUCAAAGUUUUAAACAUUAAUUGAUCCAGUCUAACUGAUCAACGAAACAAGUUACCCUAGGGAUAACAGCGCAAUCCUAUUCUAGAGUCCUUAUCGACAAUAGGGUUUACGACCUCGAUGUUGGAUCAGGACAUCCUAAUGGUGCAGCAGCUAUUAAUGGUUCGUUU
RNAcentral lists this ribosomal RNA (962 nucleotides) under Parablarinella griselda (Indochinese short-tailed shrew). RNAcentral describes it as "partial 16S ribosomal RNA". It matches the Rfam family "Bacterial large subunit ribosomal RNA", at positions 885 to 2578 of the family's 2925-position model. The record is from RNAcentral. Lineage: Eukaryota; Metazoa; Chordata; Mammalia; Eulipotyphla; Soricidae.